Long non-coding RNA from Tyto alba (common barn owl), 934 nucleotides. RefSeq lists it as uncharacterized. The record is from RefSeq and is a predicted model, not a curated record. NCBI's taxonomy places the organism in Eukaryota, Metazoa, Chordata, Aves, Strigiformes, Tytonidae. The transcript has 3 exons.
GGGCAGAGGCAGGACAGGGUCCAGGGGCAGCACUGCUCCGUGGGGCAAAAGCUGCUGUUCCUGCCCAGCUUCCCCCUCAGACCCGCCAGGAAAGGGGCUGGAUGCCUCCCAGGAGGUGACUCAGAGCUAUGGCUACAGAAGCUGUGGUAGCAUUUUUUGGCAUGUGACUGGAAGACAGAGGAGAAAAGUUUAAAACUUCAGAGCCACCUGUGAUUUGCACAGCAGAUAUUCAAACAGAGAAGCAAGAUGCUCUGGAAAUGAAAUUAAAUUUGCAGGGAAAUAAUUUUCAAUAGCUGAUGCUUCCUCCUUGAAGAUGAGAAAUGGAGUCCUUUCCGUCACCACUGGUUGUGCUGGAAUUUCAUGGGCUCUCAUCAUAACCCUGUUUCUAUGUCUUACACAUCCAUAAUGAGAAGAAGGUGGCAAAGAACAAGAGAUCAAAACCAGCAAGGCAGAUGACAGCUGACUGAAAUCAAAUCAGUAAAUCACCCAAAGGCAAAAGUAAGUGUAAUGAGGCCAAUCACCUUAUUAUAAAGCCAGACCUUCAAACUGAAGAUUCUCAUCAGUCCUGGAGGCUAAAUUGUCUGUCAGAUAUUUACUAAGCUAAAAGGCAGUCCAGAAAAAUAACCCAACCCACCAUUUAAAAGGUGAUGAUGUUGGUCACUGUGGAUUCACAAUAAGCACCUUGAUGGUGGCUUCCUGAAAAUAUGAAUGUUUUUAAAUGUGAAGAAACAAUUUUUUAAAUCGUUUCCUCACUUAAAAACUGCUUGCCCUUAACAUUGCUGUUACUUUCCUUGGUAAGCUUCUACAGAAGUUGGAGGACCUCUGCAUUGUCCUGUAACAUAAAUCACACACAAGAACGAGGUAUAAACCAGAAUCUUGAACUUGAAAAGCCCAUGUUUUCAAGGCAAAACAGUGUAUCUCUGGCCUUGUUAAA